This 119-nucleotide ribosomal RNA is filed under the name Pteropus alecto (black flying fox). The record is from RNAcentral. Lineage: Eukaryota; Metazoa; Chordata; Mammalia; Chiroptera; Pteropodidae.
GUCUAUGGCCAUACCACCCUGAACAAGCCCAAUCUCAUCUGAUCUCAGAAGCUAAGCAGGAUCAGGCCAUUUUAGUACUUGGAUGGGAGACCACCUAGGAAGACCAGGUGCUGUAGGCG